Hyaena hyaena (striped hyena) is the source of this 746-nucleotide long non-coding RNA. RefSeq lists it as uncharacterized. Lineage: Eukaryota; Metazoa; Chordata; Mammalia; Carnivora; Hyaenidae. The transcript is spliced from 3 exons. The record is from RefSeq and is a predicted model, not a curated record.
GCUCCUUGGAGGUCUCUGGGACUCAUAAUUUGGGCAUAACAGUACUUUAAUACAGCAAGUACUCUGAGCCUGUGAAGGUCUCCAUGUAGGACAGUGUAAUGCUGAGAAUGAUACAUACGUGAUGUACCCUAUGAAUUUAGGGUACAUCAUCCAACUGAGGAAAACUUUACCUAAUUUUACUUCUAAGUCAGGGAGAGCCUUACUAAGAGUCAUGUACAAAUUGUAAGAUGGGAAGAUGGCUUCUAGUGUUCAGUACAGAGUGAUGGCUCCUGACAUGCUCUGUGGUCCUUUCAAAGCAGCCUGCUACCUUUCCCCUUUCUCCAACUAUUCCUGCUGUGAGAUUGGCAAACAAACACGUAAGACCGGGUGCAGUGCUUGUAGCCUGGAGCCGAAGAGAGCAGUUUCUAACAAUCGAUGCAGCUUCCACACGGGAACUACAACAAUUAGUUUCUUUUUUCUCAGACAAGCAGAAUUUAGCAUAGAAAAGAAGUGGCACUACGUUGAAGUAGUGAGGAGGAGGCAACUUGGGCCAGAUAAUAGGGCCAGUAGCACUGAACUUGGGAACUGCAGUGAAUGUAGGUAAUGUACAAAAUUAUAAGGAAAACCCGUGCCAGUUGAGUUUGGAAGUGGGGAUGGAAGGCAUCAUGAAGAAAUUGCCAACUACAUGAUCACAGAGAAUAAUUAUGAAGAGUUUGAUGGAAACGAUUUCUCAAAGAGUAUAAAGAGAACCUGAAAAGGGGGUCUUU